CAGCCGCCACGGUAAUACGGAGGGUGCAAGCGUUAAUCGGAAUUACUGGGCGUAAAGCGCACGCAGGCGGUCCGUCAAGUCAGAUGUGAAAUCCCCGGGCUUAACCUGGGAACUGCAUUUGAAACUGGCAGGCUAGAGUCUUGUAGAGGGGGGUAGAAUUCCAGGUGUAGCGGUGAAAUGCGUAGAGAUCUGGAGGAAUACCGGUGGCGAAGGCGGCCCCCUGGACAAAGACUGACGCUCAGGUGCGAAAGCGUGGGGAGCAAACAGGAUUAGAUACCCGCGUAGUCCCUGUCUCUUAUAC
RNAcentral lists this ribosomal RNA (301 nucleotides) under uncultured bacterium. RNAcentral describes it as "partial 16S ribosomal RNA". It matches the Rfam family "Bacterial small subunit ribosomal RNA", at positions 509 to 807 of the family's 1533-position model. The record is from RNAcentral.